Molecule: microRNA precursor, 62 nt
Filed under: Pristionchus pacificus
Lineage: Eukaryota; Metazoa; Nematoda; Chromadorea; Rhabditida; Neodiplogasteridae
Description: microRNA ppc-mir-8239 precursor
Source: miRBase by way of RNAcentral
CACCUGAUUUCGAUUACUCACUGACCAUUUGUUGCCUCGUGAGCAUAUCCAAAUCGGGAGCC